AUUGAACGCUGGCGGCAGGCCUAACACAUGCAAGUCGAACGAGUGGCGGACGGGUGAGUAAUGUCUGGGAAACUGCCUGAUGGAGGGGGAUAACUACUGGAAACGGUAGCUAAUACCGCAUACCAUCGGAUGUGCCCAGAUGGGAUUAGCUGGUAGGUGGGGUAAAGGCUCACCUAGGCGACGAUCCCUAGCGGGUCUGAGAGGAUGACCCGCCACACUGGAACUGAGAAACGGGCCAGCAGCCUCAGGGAGGCAGAAGUGGGCAAUAUUGCACAAUGGGAGCAAGCCUGAUGCAGCCAUGCCGGGUGUAUGAAGAAGGCCUUCGGGUUGUAAAGUACUUUCAGCGGGGAGGCGUUACCCGCAGAAGAAGCACCGGCUAACUCCGUGCCAGCAGCCGCGGUAAUUC
This 406-nucleotide ribosomal RNA is filed under the name uncultured bacterium. RNAcentral describes it as "partial 16S ribosomal RNA". It matches the Rfam family "Bacterial small subunit ribosomal RNA", at positions 30 to 526 of the family's 1533-position model. The record is from RNAcentral.